GAUGAACGCUGGCGGCGUGCCUAAUACAUGCAAGUCGAGCGAACAGAUCAGGAGCUUUCUCCUCUGACUUUAUCGGCGGUCGGGUGAUUCACACGUGGUUAACCUACCUCUAAGACUGGGAUACUUUCGGGAAACCGUAUCUAAUACCCGAUAAUUUAUUGACCCUCAUUGUUCACUCGUUAAAUACGGUUUUGCUUUCACUUAUAGAUGGAUCCGCGCCGCAUUAGCUAGUUGGGUAGGUAACGGCUUACCAAAGCAACGAUGCGUAGCCGACCUGAGAGGGUGAUCGGACAGACGGGAAGUGAGGAAGAGUAGAGACACCGAGAGGAGGAAGCAGUAGAGAAUCCUACGCAAGGGGGGAGAGGGGGACAGAGCAAAGUCGCGUGAGGGAUGAAGGAGUUAGGAUCGGAAAACGAUGUUAGUAGGGAAGAACAAAUGUGUAAGUAACUAGGAACGUAUUGACGGUACCGAAUCAAAAAGCCACGGCUAACUACGUG
RNAcentral lists this ribosomal RNA (497 nucleotides) under uncultured bacterium. RNAcentral describes it as "partial 16S ribosomal RNA". It matches the Rfam family "Bacterial small subunit ribosomal RNA", at positions 28 to 507 of the family's 1533-position model. The record is from RNAcentral.